This 497-nucleotide ribosomal RNA is filed under the name Fusarium oxysporum. RNAcentral describes it as "eukaryotic LSU rRNA". The stretch from base 130 to 283 matches the Rfam family "5.8S ribosomal RNA". The record is from RNAcentral. Lineage: Eukaryota; Fungi; Ascomycota; Sordariomycetes; Hypocreales; Nectriaceae.
ACCCCUGUGACAUACCUAUACGUUGCCUCGGCGGAUCAGCCCGCGCCCCGUAAAACGGGACGGCCCGCCCGAGGACCCCUAAACUCUGUUUUUAGUGGAACUUCUGAGUAAAACAAACAAAUAAAUCAAAACUUUCAACAACGGAUCUCUUGGUUCUGGCAUCGAUGAAGAACGCAGCAAAAUGCGAUAAGUAAUGUGAAUUGCAGAAUUCAGUGAAUCAUCGAAUCUUUGAACGCACAUUGCGCCCGCCAGUAUUCUGGCGGGCAUGCCUGUUCGAGCGUCAUUUCAACCCUCAAGCUCAGCUUGGUGUUGGGACUCGCGGUAACCCGCGUUCCCCAAAUCGAUUGGCGGUCACGUCGAGCUUCCAUAGCGUAGUAAUCAUACACCUCGUUACUGGUAAUCGUCGCGGCCACGCCGUUUAACCCCAACUUCUGAAUGUUGACCUCGGAUCAGGUAUGAAUACCCGCUGAACUUAAGCAUAUCAAUAAGCGGAGGAA